Molecule: long non-coding RNA, 244 nt
Filed under: Mytilus galloprovincialis (Mediterranean mussel)
Lineage: Eukaryota; Metazoa; Mollusca; Bivalvia; Mytilida; Mytilidae
Source: RNAcentral
GGUGGUUUCCAUGAACUUUUUUUCCUAAAUUUUGGGAUGGGCGUGACUUCUUCAUUGGUGUCAGUAUCUGAAUCUGUUAAUCCGGCUUCUUCAAGGUUUUUCUUGCCCCUAUUGUAGAAAAAAUCUUUCAAGCGUAAACGUCUAGCGAAUUGGUCUAGGUCUUCGUCUAGCUGAAAGUUAUUUACAGUUGAUGGGAUAGGACAGAAGUUUAAACCUUUACUUAAAAGAGAUUCCUCAGCACGUG